RNAcentral lists this long non-coding RNA (199 nucleotides) under Brassica rapa (field mustard). Its description in RNAcentral is "long non-coding RNA (BRAP_LNC001392)". The record is from RNAcentral. Lineage: Eukaryota; Viridiplantae; Streptophyta; Magnoliopsida; Brassicales; Brassicaceae.
AAAAACCUUGCACCCAUAAUCCACGCCCAUAACCGUUUUCUCAGUGUACUUCAAUAGUGUCUGUGUUUGACUUAAGGAGGCCAAACACAUGAGAAGUAGCAUAGUAAGACGUCUCAUGCCGUCACUACGUAACCGGAUUUGUAAAAACCCUCGACCUUUUAUAUCACUGAGCCUCCAGACCAAAGAAAACCAUUUCCAC